This 243-nucleotide ribosomal RNA is filed under the name uncultured bacterium. RNAcentral's name for it is "partial 16S ribosomal RNA". It matches the Rfam family "Bacterial small subunit ribosomal RNA", at positions 9 to 235 of the family's 1533-position model. The record is from RNAcentral.
GAGUUUGAUCGUGGCUCAGGAUGAACGCUGGCGGCGUGCUUAACACAUGCAAGUCGAACGAAGCACUUUAACCUGAUUCUUCGGAUGAAGGUUUUUGUGACUGAGUGGCGGACGGGUGAGUAACGCGUGGGUAACCUGCCUCAUACAGGGGGAUAACAGUUAGAAAUGACUGCUAAUACCGCAUAAGACCACGGAGCCGCAUGGCUCAGUGGGAAAAACUCCGGUGGUAUGAGAUGGACCCCG